Molecule: ribosomal RNA, 457 nt
Filed under: uncultured Dechloromonas sp.
Lineage: Bacteria; Pseudomonadati; Pseudomonadota; Betaproteobacteria; Rhodocyclales; Azonexaceae
Description: bacterial SSU rRNA
Rfam family: Bacterial small subunit ribosomal RNA
Source: RNAcentral
ACAAGCGGUGGAUGAUGUGGAUUAAUUCGAUGCAACGCGAAAACCUUACCUACCCUUGACAUGUCCGGAAUCCCGAAGAGAUUUGGGAGUGCUCGCAAGAGAACCGGAACACAGGUGCUGCAUGGCUGUCGUCAGCUCGUGUCGUGAGAUGUUGGGUUAAGUCCCGCAACGAGCGCAACCCUUGUCAUUAGUUGCCAUCAUUUGGUUGGGCACUCUAAUGAGACUGCCGGUGACAAACCGGAGGAAGGUGGGGAUGACGUCAAGUCCUCAUGGCCCUUAUGGGUAGGGCUUCACACGUCAUACAAUGGCCGGUACAGACGGAGGCGAAGCCGCGAGGCGGAGCAAAUCCGAAAAAGCCGGUCUCAGUUCGGAUUGCAGGCUGCAAUUCGCCUGCAUGAAGUCGGAAUCGCUAGUAAUCGCAGGUCAGCAUACUGCGGUGAAUACGUUCCCGGGCCUU